CUACGGGGCGCAGCAGUGGGGAAUAUUGGACAAUGGGGGAAACCCUGAUCCAGCAAUGCCGCGUGUGUGAAGAAGGCCUGCGGGUUGUAAAGCACUUUCGGUUGGGAGGACUGCUUCUAGCACUAAUAUUGUUGGAAGUUGACGUUACCUUCAGAAGAAGCACCGGCUAACUCCGUGCCAGCAGCCGCGGUAAUACGGAGGGUGCAAGCUUUAAUCGGAAUUACUGGGCGUAAAGCGCGCGUAGGCGGCUAGAUCAGUCGGGUGUGAAAGCCCCGGGCUUAACCUGGGAACUGCAUCCGAUACUGUCUAGCUUGAGUACAGGAGAGGAGAGUGGAAUUCCACAUGUAGCGGUGACAUGCGUAGAUAUGUGGAGGAACACCAAUGGCGAAGGCAGCUCUCUGGCCUGAUACUGACGCUGAGGUGCGAAAGCGUGGGGAGCAAACAGGAUUAGAUACCCCCGUAGUC
Molecule: ribosomal RNA, 465 nt
Filed under: uncultured bacterium
Lineage: Bacteria
Description: partial 16S ribosomal RNA
Rfam family: Bacterial small subunit ribosomal RNA
Source: RNAcentral